AUAUAAAUAUGAAAAUAUAUAUCCGCACGGUUGUGCGGGUGAAAUCUAGUUAAACACUUAAAUUUGAAUUUUAUCACUAAUAAGUUAUAACUUAUAAGUCAUAUAUACAUUUGCAUGAGUUGAAUAACAAGAGAAUCAAACUCUCUUUAAUGUUGGUAGGAGUCUUUACAUGCACUAAACAAGCUAUAAGGGAAACAGUGGAUACAGAAAAGAGCCGCACGAGACAAGACAAGAGAAAGACAUGGACAUAUGCAUUCGAGCAAAGAACAACGCGUUGGCCAUAGCUCGUCUUAAAGCUUUACAUGACUUUAGAGAAAGCAAGGUGACAUUCUUCUUGAUGCUACAGUCUCUGUCCAAAGUUUCAGCAACAGGUACUGAAAUGGAACAUUCUCCAUGGAUUAAAACUCUGCAAUCUUUUGAAAUAUUUUGAAAUGAUUUUUAUUAAGCUUAAUCUUGAGAUUUACAUCAAGAUUCAAUUAAACAGAAAUUGAAAAUGAAACUUAUUUUAUAUCACCUGCUUUAUUUUUCACUGACUAUGCAACCGUUUGAAUAUGGUUUCAAUCAAUCCUAGUUCGUUACAAAAUAAAUAAAGUCGAUGAAAGACAUUUAUGAAAUGUCUUGUUUGUUUUGAGUAGAAAGUAAAGUACUAAAGUUCAAAAAAAAAAAAAGUAAAGUACUAAUUAAAUCGGAAGUCGGUAAAGAACAUGAAAUCGACAAACAAAAAAGAUUGGUACAAAAAAAAAUUGGCUAAAAAU
Brassica rapa (field mustard) is the source of this 755-nucleotide long non-coding RNA. RefSeq lists it as uncharacterized. The record is from RefSeq and is a predicted model, not a curated record. NCBI's taxonomy places the organism in Eukaryota, Viridiplantae, Streptophyta, Magnoliopsida, Brassicales, Brassicaceae.